This is a long non-coding RNA of Chroicocephalus ridibundus (black-headed gull), 1008 nucleotides long. RefSeq lists it as uncharacterized. The record is from RefSeq and is a predicted model, not a curated record. The transcript has 2 exons. NCBI's taxonomy places the organism in Eukaryota, Metazoa, Chordata, Aves, Charadriiformes, Laridae.
GCAGUUAAACUGCGUGGGCAGCUGCUGUGGUCCCCACCUCGUUCCUGAGCAUCAUGGAGAGAGGACUGUGUGAGCCGAGACGGGCAGGAUGCAGGAACAACCACAAAAACACAGAUGAAAUGCAAAGAGGGUUGAAGCAGGCAUAUUGCGCUUUGAUCUUCUCGGACAGCAGGGCAGGAGUCUCAGGCAUGUUCGAUAAGGCGCUCCUGAGUCCAUCACAGGCCUGCGUUAUCUAAGUGUGGAUGUUCUGCUUGUCAAGCACAUAAGACUAAACAAUGAUUAGUGUGAUAUAUGUGUUUUCCAACACCCCAGGUGCAAGUCAUGGGAGCGUAUUUACAAUCCUCCUCACCAAUCUUCUGUUACUUUCCCAGAAGGACCAACCCCUCCAGCUCCGGGGCUGACUGACCCAGGUUGUCACCUCUUGAACAUGGGCUCUUAACUUCUCCGGGCCUUGUUGCCAAAGCCAAAGGGCAGCGCUUCAGCCCCAGAGGGCUCUGGGAGCAUGUCCUUAUAAAGCCCAUGUUUCUGAUCUAGUUCUGGGUCAGCGAGCUCCUGCAAGAAAAAUCUAAGUAUUGUUUUUGCAGGGGAACAACUUGGCCAGUCUGCAAUGACAUAGCUGGAGAAAAGAAAGCUCAUCCUUUAGACAAAGGAGAAACCAGUCUAUGCUGGAUCGGUAGUUUAACGGGAGGAUGAAUUUUUAACUGAGACCAGCAACCGUGGGCAAUAACAACAAAAAAAGGAAGAAAUAAACAGGUGAAAUAAGAGGUUUAGGAAGGGUGAUGGGGAGAAGUAAACAGAGGCAGAGCGAACGGAAGUAGUUUUAGGCGAUCGGACAGGCUGUAAACCCUGGAGUACCUAGCCAAUGGGGAAACGAGGGAGGGAAACUUCGGCCAGGAAUAGGGAAUAAAAAGAAGUUAUUUCGGGAACUCUGGUGUGCCUACCUGCUAGGUCACACCUAGGUCACACUGUUCUUGCAAGAGUGUUUAAAUAAAAUGUGCUUCAUAUCGA